This 111-nucleotide ribosomal RNA is filed under the name Blautia obeum. RNAcentral describes it as "partial 16S ribosomal RNA". It matches the Rfam family "Bacterial small subunit ribosomal RNA", at positions 1431 to 1533 of the family's 1533-position model. Lineage: Bacteria; Bacillati; Bacillota; Clostridia; Lachnospirales; Lachnospiraceae. The record is from RNAcentral.
UGACCUAACUGCAAAGAAGGAGCUGCCGAAGGCGGGACCGAUGACUGGGGUGAAGUCGUAACAAGGUAGCCGUAUCGGAAGGUGCGGCUGGAUCACCUCCUUUCUAAGGAA